GUGGUAGCUCAGUGGUAGAGCAUCUGCUUUAAAGACAAAAGGCCCCGGGUUCGGUUCCUGGCAGCAUCU
Non-coding RNA from Podarcis lilfordi (Lilford's wall lizard), 69 nucleotides. NCBI's taxonomy places the organism in Eukaryota, Metazoa, Chordata, Lepidosauria, Squamata, Lacertidae. The record is from the annotation of a GenBank genome assembly.